RNAcentral lists this ribosomal RNA (408 nucleotides) under uncultured Enterobacter sp. Its description in RNAcentral is "bacterial SSU rRNA". It matches the Rfam family "Bacterial small subunit ribosomal RNA", at positions 957 to 1366 of the family's 1533-position model. The record is from RNAcentral. Lineage: Bacteria; Pseudomonadati; Pseudomonadota; Gammaproteobacteria; Enterobacterales; Enterobacteriaceae.
UAACGCGAAGAACCUUACCUGGUCUUGACAUCCACGGAAGUUUUCAGAGAUGAGAAUGUGCCUUCGGGAACCGUGAGACAGGUGCUGCAUGGCUGUCGUCAGCUCGUGUUGUGAAAUGUUGGGUUAAGUCCCGCAACGAGCGCAACCCUUAUCCUUUGUUGCCAGCGGUCCGGCCGGGAACUCAAAGGAGACUGCCAGUGAUAAACUGGAGGAAGGUGGGGAUGACGUCAAGUCAUCAUGGCCCUUACGACCAGGGCUACACACGUGCUACAAUGGCGCAUACAAAGAGAAGCGACCUCGCGAGAGCAAGCGGACCUCAUAAAGUGCGUCGUAGUCCGGAUUGGAGUCUGCAACUCGACUCCAUGAAGUCGGAAUCGCUAGUAAUCGUGAUCAGAUGCUUAUAGUUAA